UCCUUGAUAGCACAGUUGGUAAAGAACCCACCUGCAAUGUGGGAGACCUAGGUUCGAUCCCUGGCUUUGGAA
RNAcentral lists this transfer RNA (72 nucleotides) under Bos taurus (domestic cattle). It matches the Rfam family "tRNA". Rfam says of the family: Transfer RNA (tRNA) molecules are approximately 80 nucleotides in length. Their secondary structure includes four short double-helical elements and three loops (D, anti-codon, and T loops). The record is from Rfam by way of RNAcentral. Lineage: Eukaryota; Metazoa; Chordata; Mammalia; Artiodactyla; Bovidae.